RNAcentral lists this long non-coding RNA (475 nucleotides) under Gallus gallus (chicken). The record is from RNAcentral. Lineage: Eukaryota; Metazoa; Chordata; Aves; Galliformes; Phasianidae.
CUCCAAGUCAGUUAUUAUUUUUUGGUAAUCUUCCUUACGCAUUGUUUUCAGCUUAGCAAUAGUCAUCGCUCUGAUUUUCUCAAUGUCAAUCAUGCAAUAAUGCCAAGAUACCAGGCUCUUCAUGUUGAUAUACAGCUGGUUCCACAAAGCCAGAAUAGCUUCGUAGUAUUGCUCAAUUUUGGUAGCAAGAUCCACUGCUAAUGGAUUUGGGGGUGGGAUGAUCAGACUAACAGAUGGCACCAGCAUAUCCACUCCUCCAGGGCCAGUCACCAACCACUUGCUGCGCUCAUUGUUGUCCUUCAGGAUGCAUUCAUCUCCUUUGCGCACUGUUUUCAGAUCCUGUUUGUAGUCACAUAGAGCCUUGAGGAUAAUGGGCUUGUUACUCCGGUAAUCUGGGUUACGUGGCUUCAGCUGCACAAUCUUCUUGGAUUUAUUCACCAAACUCUGCACUUGCCUCUUGUAUUCAAGAAUUCUC